Nymphaea colorata (pocket water lily) is the source of this 1554-nucleotide long non-coding RNA. RefSeq lists it as uncharacterized. The transcript is spliced from 3 exons. The record is from RefSeq and is a predicted model, not a curated record. NCBI's taxonomy places the organism in Eukaryota, Viridiplantae, Streptophyta, Magnoliopsida, Nymphaeales, Nymphaeaceae.
UAAAAGUCCUACAUUGUGCUGCAGCUUUGGGAAUCACCAAAUCUUUUAAACCUGAAUGAUAUGGAGAAAUUACAUCUAGGAGGAUGUAAGACCCUCGCGCACUUGUCUGGUAUCGAGAGGUUCAAAUCUUUAAUGCAGUUAAUAUUGACCACCCGCGACGGCUUGAGCCGUGACCUGGGGGGCAAAUUAUCACAGCCCACUUUUGAACGGCUGGGAGAACUCUUUAUUUCGGGAUCAAACGGUGGUUCCGACUUGUUGUUUGGGCUUCCAAAAGCCGGCCAAGUCGAUCGACUGGUGGGGAUGUUUUGCCUGGCCGACGAGCCGCCGGCGAACAGAUACACGUUAACGUCCGCAUCCAAGUCCAGGUAGAAGGAAAGAUCGUCACCGAAGGCACAUGGAUAGCGGAAAGAACGAUAGGCGACGUUGAAUUCAUGGGGAAGUUCGGGGAGGAUGGCGAGGGUUCUUAUGAGAUUGGGUUGGGGAAAGAUGAGGAGAUAAGCAGGUAGGUACUCGAGGAAGGACACGCGGUCUUGAGGGUUCCAACCAUUUACAACGAUUAGCAGUUGAAGAUGGAAUAUUGUACGUGUGUAAAAGUGGUGUGUUUCUGAUCUGAGACUUGUCCUGUUCAGUACUGAUUUAGUUCCAUGACGAACACUUGAAUCGUACCAAGGAGAAGAAAGGUCCAACACUUGGCUUUGUUUAUGGUUUUGUCUUCUCAUUUUGUUCCAGCUGCAAUGAUGUUGUCUACCCUAUUUUGCAAAAACCUAACGUGUUCCUCCUGCAACUAAUGAGAGUAGCACACGUUUGGAAUCAGAUCCCAAAAUUUAAAGUGGUGAAGAAGACUCCUUUACUUCUUUUUCCUUUGGAACAUCGAUGAACUUGAAAUAACAAGUAUGGUCAGAGGCAUAAGUCGGGACCAUUGGCGGCCGAGAGCGGGGAUACCGGAUACAGACCACUUUUUAUUUAAAAAAAAUUGAAGGCUAUGACUAAUAAUAAUUGAAAAUUAUUAAAGCUUCGACUAAGUAAAAAACAGAGUGCCUUAAUUCAUAACCGUAUUAGCAAAAUGUCGGCCAUAUACUCCACAAUGGGAUACAAUAUGACAACUAUUGAUGACUUUUGUAAGUGCACAGACCUAGUAAUUUGUCAAAUACAAAUUUCAUUAGGGAUUUUACUUUAAUGAGUUGAGUCUGUGUCGAUCAACGUUUAUAAAUCCAAGCAUGGAGGCACGGCAGAAAACCAAAACAGCUGCAGAAAUGAAUGAUCAUGGGGGUGCAAAAAUCGUAGAUACCUUUUCAGCAUGUGAAUUGGUAGAUUUUAUUAUCUGCGGACGUUGGAAGGCAGCUGGUGGUAAAGGGGAUUGUUUCUUAAAAAACGCAACUAUGAAGCGCGCAAAUGUGCAGACCGGCCAUCAUGUUCCAACAUUCUAACUGUACAAACUUAGAUUCCACCGCCUGUGCAGCGGAUGAUGAAGACAGUUGCUGCUGAAGUUCGAACUUCAAAGAUAAGUAUAAAUCCUGGCUUUAUCUGUCCAUAACUCUUAGCUCCAGACUGCCA